UCUGAGUUACUUUCGGGUGCUUGGAUGUCCUCUUCGGCCGCCAUUCAACGGUCAGCUCAGAACUGGCACGGACUAGGGGAAUCCGACUGUCUAAUUAAAACAAAGCAUUGCGAUGGUCCCUGCGGAUGCUCACGCAAUGUGAUUUCU
RNAcentral lists this ribosomal RNA (147 nucleotides) under Heterosigma akashiwo. Its description in RNAcentral is "partial Eukaryotic large subunit ribosomal RNA". It matches the Rfam family "Eukaryotic large subunit ribosomal RNA", at positions 2052 to 2199 of the family's 3401-position model. The record is from RNAcentral. Lineage: Eukaryota; Raphidophyceae; Chattonellales; Chattonellaceae.